This 406-nucleotide ribosomal RNA is filed under the name uncultured bacterium. RNAcentral's name for it is "partial 16S ribosomal RNA". It matches the Rfam family "Bacterial small subunit ribosomal RNA", at positions 30 to 526 of the family's 1533-position model. The record is from RNAcentral.
AUUGAACGCUGGCGGCAGGCCUAACACAUGCAAGUCGAACGAGUGGCGGACGGGUGAGUAAUGUCUGGGAAACUGCCUGAUGGAGGGGGAUAACUACUGGAAACGGUAGCUAAUACCGCAUACCAUCGGAUGUGCCCAGAUGGGAUUGGAUAGUUGGUGGGGUAACGGCUCACCAAGGCGACGAUCCCUAACUGGUCUGAGAGAGGGACCGACCCAACUGGACCUGAGACACGGUCCGACUCCCUACGGGAGGCAGCAGUGGGAAAUAUUGGACAAUGGGCGCAAGCCGGAUGGUGCCAUGCCGCGUGUAUGAAGAGGGCCUUCGGGUUGUAAAGUACGUUCAGCGGGGAGGCGUUACCCGCAGAAGAAGCACCGGCUAACUCCGUGCCAGCAGCCGCGGUAAUAC